GAUGAACGCUGGCGGCGUGCCUAAUACAUGCAAGUCGAGCGAACAGACGAGGAGCUUGCUCCUCUGACGUUAGCGGCGGACGGGUGAGUAACACGUGGAUAACCUACCUAUAAGACUGGGAUAACUUCGGGAAACCGGAGCUAAUACCGGAUAAUAUAUUGAACCGCAUGGUUCAAUAGUGAAAGACGGUUUUGCUGUCACUUAUAGAUGGAUCCGCGCCGCAUUAGCUAGUUGGUAAGGUAACGGCUUACCAAGGCAACGAUGCGUAGCCGACCUGAGAGGGUGAUCGGCCACACUGGAACUGAGACACGGUCCAGACUCCUACGGGAGGCAGCAGUAGGGAAUCUUCCGCAAUGGGGGAAAGCUUGACGGAGCAACGCGGCGUGAGUGAUGAAGGUCUUCGGAUCGUAAAACUCUGUUAUUAGGGAAGAACAAAUGUGUAAGUAACUAUGCACGUCUUGACGGUACCUAAUCAGAAAGCCACGGCUAACUACGUG
This 497-nucleotide ribosomal RNA is filed under the name uncultured bacterium. RNAcentral describes it as "partial 16S ribosomal RNA". It matches the Rfam family "Bacterial small subunit ribosomal RNA", at positions 28 to 507 of the family's 1533-position model. The record is from RNAcentral.